Molecule: ribosomal RNA, 463 nt
Filed under: Dichaetophora sp. DHS1 (Gao)
Lineage: Eukaryota; Metazoa; Arthropoda; Insecta; Diptera; Drosophilidae
Description: partial 28S ribosomal RNA
Rfam family: Eukaryotic large subunit ribosomal RNA
Source: RNAcentral
UUCGUGUGAACAGUGGUUGAUCACGAGUUAGUCGGUCCUAAGUUCAAGGCGAAAGCCGAAAAUUUUCAAGUAUAAUGUAUAUAUUUUUUAUUAUUAUUAUCGAUUUUUAUACACUUGAAUAAUUUUGAACGAAAGGGAAUACGGUUCCAAUUCCGUAACCUGUUGAGUAUCCGUUUGUUAUUAAAUAUGGGCCUCGUGCUCAUCCUGGCAACAGGAACGACCAUAAAGAAGCCGUCGAGAGGUAUCGGAAGAGUUUUCUUUUCUGUUUUAUAGCCGUACUACCAUGGAAGUCUUUCGCAGAGAGAUAUGGUAGAUGGGCUAGAAGAGCAUGACAUAUACUGUUGUGUCGAUAUUUUCUCCUCGGACCUUGAAAAUUUAUGGUGGGGAUACGCAAACUUCUCAACAGGCCGUACCAAUAUCCGCAGCUGGUCUCCAAGGUGAAGAGUCUCUAGUCGAUAGAAUA